Molecule: non-coding RNA, 45 nt
Organism: Schistosoma mansoni
Lineage: Eukaryota; Metazoa; Platyhelminthes; Trematoda; Strigeidida; Schistosomatidae
Source: Rfam
AUUCAGCUGUCGAGUCUCAAGUAGGACGAAAUGUGUAUCCUGGAU